This 253-nucleotide ribosomal RNA is filed under the name uncultured bacterium. RNAcentral's name for it is "partial 16S ribosomal RNA". It matches the Rfam family "Bacterial small subunit ribosomal RNA", at positions 524 to 776 of the family's 1533-position model. The record is from RNAcentral.
UACGUAGGUGGCAAGCGUUGUCCGGAUUUACUGGGCGUAAAGAGCGCGCAGGCGGUCGUUCAAGUCGCGUGUGAAAGCCCCCGGCUCAACCGGGGAGAGUCGUCGGGGACCGCACCGCUUGAGGGCGGUAGGGGCUGGUGGAAUGCCUGGUGUAGUGGUGAAAUGCGUAGAGAUCAGGCAGAACACCUGGGGCGAAGGCGGCCAGCUGGGCCGUCCCUGACGCUGAGGCGCGAAGGCGUGGGGAGCGAACGGG